GGCCUCGGGCUUGGGAUUGCUCCUCCCGGCCACCGCCCCUUACCUGAGACGCGGGGUAGCUCCUCUCGGCCAUUCCUGCGCCCUGUCGUUGGCCAAUGCAUCCUGUCUGGAGUCUUAAAUGCUAUUGCACAGCCCGUGUCACACCAGAGUAUUCAAUGAUGCAUUCUACUGCAAAAGGAGCAGGAGAGACCAAUCCAUGUCCUACUACAGACUACAUUCUCUAAACAAAUUCCUGAUCAUCAAACUCAGAGCAAUGUUGAUAAUCUAGAUAACAUGGGUUAAUGGCUUGUGGCCAGAAGGGGGUACUAAAAAAUAUCUCUUGACAUCCAGGCUAGGACAUGUUAUUCUCCCAUUAGACAUUGAAAAAAAUCUCAGGGAAUGCCAACUUCAGGUGAGAUCAUGAGAUCUUGUCACUCUGAGAUCAUGAUAAAGUGAGACAAAACAAAGGCCACUUCAUGAUUUUUUUGUUCCUUAGCACAGACAAAAGCAAAAUCACUGUACAAAUCACCGUAUAUCCCUCUCCUAGCUAGUAUGAGUGACUGCUAGUUUGGGGGUUUUGUUUUCCCCUUUGCUUUGUUUCUUUGUUUGUUUUCAGCAAUUGUAGCUUUAACCUCACUCUAAUCUAUUCUCUCUAUACAAAAGGUUUAUUAAGAUACUGUCAUAGGAAUUCCCUGUCUUCCUGACAGUAUCCAAUCCAGAUCAGAGCUCUGCUUCUUUAAAAAUUCACCCAAAUCACCUAAAACAAGCCCACCUCUUUUCUUCUUUAAUUUUUUUUUUUGAGGUGGUCCCUUUAUUUAGUCUUUAUUCAAUUUGUUACCAUAUUGCUUCUGUUUUUUUUUUGUUUGUUAGUUUGUUUGUUUUCUUUUAUGUUUUGGUUUUUGGCCACAAGACAUGUGGGACCUUAGUUUCCCCAACCAGGGAGCGAACCCACACCACCUACUUUGGAAGGCAAAGGCUCAUCCACCGGACCAGCAGGGAAGUCCCAAGCCCAAAUCUCUUAACAUCCCUUUUCUAUCACCCACGUACUUGUGUGGCCCACAGUUCCUUCACUGUGUAUGUUCUCCUUCACUGC
Bos taurus (domestic cattle) is the source of this 1072-nucleotide long non-coding RNA. The record is from Ensembl. NCBI's taxonomy places the organism in Eukaryota, Metazoa, Chordata, Mammalia, Artiodactyla, Bovidae.